GCGGAGAACGGCCGACGAUGGCCCGCGAUGGGCCGGACGCCAUCCGCCGGGAAGCAGAGCUGGAGCACAGCCGUUACUUGGACCGCCGGGCCGUGGCCCAGGAGCAGCUGGCGCAAAUACAGGAGCACAAGCAUCAGGCAGAUCUGGCCAAGCUAGAAGACAAAAGAGAAGGGGAACAAAUACAGAGAUUGAACCAAUUGUACCAACUGGAAAUUCAGAGAGGAAAAGAAAAGGAACAGGAGGAAAAAGUUGAACGCCAGAGGGUGUAUCACGAGUAUGUAGCUCAACAGAAAGUAAUUAAAGAUGAAGAGAAAGAAAAAGAAGACAAAGAUGAUGAUCGGAUUAAGGCUUAUAUUAAAGGAAAAGAAACGAUGGCUGAUCUGAGAAGAGAAAAAAAUGCAGAGACUAAUAGGCUAACGCAGGAGUGCAAGGACAAAGCUUUUGAACAACUAACUGCACAGAUGAAUAGGGCAUGUAAGAUUGAAGAUGAUCGACUUGCUAGAGGAGCUGCAGAGGUAGAAGACGAAUACCAAAAGAAAACCAAAGAGACAGAAGAAAAAAAAAAGAGUGCCAUUGAAUCUAUUGCUGUACACAGAGCCACUGUGAUGAAGAUGAAAGAGGAAAAGGAGAGAGAGGAAAAAGCAGAGGAUGAGAAGGAUCAUAAUCAGUGGAUGACAGCAGAUCGUAUCUACUUGGAAAUGGAAAAAGCCAAGAAACAAAGACAACAUGAUGCAAGCAUGGAAGUACAGAAAAUUCAGAUCCAGCAAAUGGCUGAAAAGCAGGCAAAAAAACAGCAGGAAAAGCAAGCGGAUUUGGACUACGAUGCUCAGAGAGAAGCUGCUUUUCGUAACGAUCAAGCAUUUCGGCGAUAAAGACAAGGUUUUGCCCAGAAUAGCUGUAGCCUGGUGUCAGGGCUGAAUGCCCAUCACUGGUUGGAGCACGUCUUCCUGUUUAAGUUUCAUCCAGAAGGGUCCAGUUUGUGGUCGCUGUGUAAUGUGAACCAAAGCACAAAAUACAUCUGACAACUACAGAAGUAUCUACUAAGGAAUAAGAAGCUAGCCACUGCCUCCUUACAAGUUAUACGUGCCUGCAAAACCUAUCAGUGCCCAACAGCUGAAGCUAACUCUAGAGCAAGUUACAAGGCAUGCUGUUUGCCAGAACCUGCCUAUACUCAACUUCAGCUCAAGAAACAAGUACUGUAGCUACAGCCAUAGCUUGCAACUGUACCUGUAACUACUCUAGUUUUAUUAUGGAACAAAGCAGUAGAUUCACUUUCUAGGAAGUCAAGCAGUAACAACCAAAGGUAAACUAUCAAUUCAUCUGUACUGUACUCCGAGUAUUGCUGGGCCUCCAGGCUUAAUUCAAACCUUAUGUUUUGGCUUAAAAUUCUUACUGAGCAAACAAUAAAAUUGAGUAAGCUGUUUACAAGCAUCUGUCUGGAACAAUAAGAUCAAUAUGUUGAGUG
This is an RNA transcript of Pygoscelis adeliae (Adelie penguin), 1465 nucleotides long. It is a transcript of the gene named coiled-coil domain-containing protein 173-like, with no coding region annotated. The record is from RefSeq and is a predicted model, not a curated record. The transcript is spliced from 8 exons. NCBI's taxonomy places the organism in Eukaryota, Metazoa, Chordata, Aves, Sphenisciformes, Spheniscidae.